AUCCCUAGAUCCAUAUCCCCGAUUCUUAAAAUGGAGAUCAUGAAGAAUCCAACCUCUAGAUCUGCACCCGUAUCGGACACCCCAACCUGAGUCCGAGCUACAUUUCAAGCAGGCUGUUUGUUUUUUCCAAUAAAAGGUAAUGCAACCACAAUUUGGAAAAGGAAAGGCCAACUCCAUCCCAGUUGACAAAAAGCAUAAGGAAAAUACAGUAGAAGUUUGGAGGAGUAGCAGCUUUCAGGAAGAGAACAAAGCUUUAGAAAAGUAGAAUGUACUUUAAAUAGUUCAAUAGAUGGGGGUUUUAUUCCUGUUAUGAUUCCGUGUUCCGUGUUCCAUGUUUUAUUACGAAUCUGUGUGUUUUCCUCUGCUUUCCUCUGUUUUAUAUUACUUAUAGGUGCCGUAUUUAUGUAUGUUAUGUAAUCUGCUUCUGUGCUUUAUAAUGUGUUUGUGUGGUAUCUCGUGCCUUGAGCCGGGGGUCUAUCGGAAACAGCCUUUCUACUUCUUUAGAGGUAGAGGUAUGGACUGCGUACAUCUUACCCCCUAGACCCCACUAGGUGGGAAUACACUGGGUUUGUUGUUGUUGUUGUUGUAGAUGAGUAGACAUAAUCCUGACAAUCUCAGAAGCUCACACAUGUAAUUGUCUUUAAAACAUAACUCACAAUGGUUAUUAUUUAAUGUCUUAAUAGCCCACUUUAACGGACACUUCUUUUCAAAAAUCCCUCAGUUUAAAAGAGUUUGCAAAAGCACAACUUUUAGUGCUUUGCUACUAGUUACUUUUCAAUAUUGAGGCACGGUGUUUAAGAAAGAAAGAAAACACUUUUGAACUUGUGGCCUUAAACAUGGGGGUUUUGUUGCUGUAAUAACAUGUCACUAAUGGUUAAAUGGUACGAUCAACUUAAAUGUUUUCAAAUAUAGAAGGUGUCAAUGUUUUUGGGAUAGACUAAUAAAGAAAUGGUGUCACAAAAUAUGGAAUGGAAGAGUAAUAUAUGGCUGUGAGGAGAGAUUUAUUCGUUCUGUCUGAAUCUGAUUUAGUAUAUAGAAGAGGGGGUAUCAUAUUAUGAAGAGAGAGCGCAGCUCAAACCCAAGUUUCCAUCUGCUCUAUGUAAAAAACAAUUUUUUUGUCGAAUACAACGUUACAUUGUGUGGCUUCACCUCAUAUAUAAAGAUAAGUUGCUAGCAGGAAAAAAUUUGCUCACCUCUUCUCAGCUAAUUGAUUAUUUUUCUCAAAAUACUUGAACUUUAAAAAGGACACAGGGCCAUAGUCCUCGUCUAGGAAUAUUUAAAACCCAUGACAAAUUUUGAAGAGAUGAAAGACAUAAAACAAACAGCAGAUAAGAAGCAGCUGCCUUCUUGAAAGAAGUAAUAAGAUAAUCUAAUAACUGAGCAGAAGCAUGAUAGUUAUGGUGCAACACCCCUUAAAGCUUGUCAUCUUCUUUAUCUCAUAAUCCUCUUAAUAACCACUUCGGCAAGAAAAGAAGAAAAGGUUUUUCGUCUCGAUUCCUUCACCCAUUUUCUAUAUCCACUAUCACAUUACUUUUGCUAGUUAAUAUUUCCACCAUUCCAUCAACUCUUUAAAAAGAUCAAGUUAGGCACAGAAACAAAUUUGUGCUCUGUAUCUAAUACAUUAUGGCUGAUAAAUUGAUUAAAAUACCGCCUAAACGGCUAGACCUUCAUAGUAAAUAUUUUAAAGAUCACAAACUGGAAAAGCAAUUACAAACUUUGUCCAAGGUCCAUUUACUUUUAUGAUAUAGAAGUAUUUAAGUAAUUACAACUACAACAACAACAUACCUAGUGUAUUCCCACAAAGUGGCGUUUGGGGAGGGUAAAGUGUACGCAGUCCAUACCACUACCUCAGAUGAAGUAGAGUUGUUUCCGAUGGACCCCAGGCACAAGACAACUAACAGUAUAGGAAAGUAUUUAAGUAAUUAUAAAUAUUUUCCUACCGCAACAACAAUGGUCUUGUCCUCAUUAUACAGUGGCUGAUCUCCAGAAGUUGGGUCCACUAUUGCCAAUCGUUGAUGAGCAAGAUAACAGUCCUCGUGGCUAUGUAAUCCACUCCAAUCAGGUCCUCUGUGGCGCAACCUACAAUUAACAUCACAUAAAAGAAGAUUUCAUAUAAUACGAAUCCUGCCUACUGCAAUGUAGAAUAUGAGACAGUAGUAAUAAAUAAUGUGUAUCAUCCUCUAAAGAAAAGUCCAGAGAAUUGGACUCAGAGCCCAACACAAAUCUAUUAAAAGAGGCAAAGUUAGGGGAUUUAUAAAAUUAGAAUUGGGAGUUGAACAAUGUGAUUCUAAAGACAUUGUGGAUCAGUGUUAGCAUCACGGGUACAAAGCAUGUCCCGACCAAAAAACAAACAGCUCUGUGCACGAAGCAUGUCCCGAAAAGCAGCAAAUUACUUAUUUCCGGCAAAAUACAGAGAUGGGAGACGGUAAUGUUCAGCACGAAGAAUGAAUACAUGGCCAGCAAAUCGGAAAGCAAGCAGGUAAAGACAAAAACUGAAUAAUGGGAGAUCCCCCAACCCCCCCCCNNNNNNNNNNNNNNNNNNNNCUUAGACAGAACAGAAGUGGCCAAAACCAAUUUCUAAAAAUUUCUUCAGAGAUUGUGGUUUAUAGGAACGAAAAGAAACCAAACAUGCAGCUCCAACAGGGUAAAUGAUAUAUCAAACAAGAAACUAAUUUUGAAUAGGGUUGAACAAGAAAAGGAGUCCAUUGCUUUCCACGUACGGUAUAUCCUUAUUCCCAGUACCUGCUAAAGUAGAGAAGAGGUUGAAAAAGUUAAGAGAUUUUCAUUGGCAGGGGAAACAGUGAGAAAAGAUGUUUUCACUUGGUCAAGUUGAGUACGUCAAAUUAUAGCAAUAAGGAAGUUGGUCUUGCCAGUAAAAACUUGAGGCAUUAAUGAUAAUGAAAUGAUUAAGCCAUUAUGGAGAUUCUCUUUACAAGAACAGUCACUUUGGAAGGCUGUCAUAAGUGAGAAGUUUGGAAUAGAAGGCUGUUGGACUAUAAAACCAGUGACUUCUACUCAUGGGGUGGAUUCGUCGAAGACUAUUAGAGCUCUUGACAGAAGUUUGUGAGCAACAUUGGGUUUAAAUGGGGAGCAGAAAAUUGUUUUUUUGGGUAAACGAGUGGAUAGGUCAUGCUCCUUUGGAAGAUCUAUUUCCAGAUUCCUUCAAACUCCUUAUUGCAUUUUAUUUCAUUAUUUCAUAUUCCAUCCUUAGUAUUUUGCUCGUAGUAGCCCCUGUACCUUGUCUGCUGUCUGUGGUUGCUGUUGCUGUGGUCGUUUCUUAGUUUUAUUUCGGGAAUAUUACUUUGAAUGUGUGUGAGCUUUGUAUUUCCUUGCUGCUGCUUUGAUACUGUCACCGGGUUCAUCUUUAUAUUUUCCUAUACUGUCGGGUAGUUGUGGCUGUGGGUGGUAAUGGGUGGAUAGUCUAGCUUUGAUCUGAACCCAUAUGGAAAUAUUUUUUUUGAUUUCCCAUCCAGUGUUUGAUACCCAUAUUGAGGAUCAACUAAAUUUGGAUUCGCGAUGAGAAGUCCCACGUUGGGCAUGUAUAGUGUUGUUUGCAUAGAGAACCCCAGUACUUUAAUUCGUUAUCUUGUCUUGAUGUUAUAUUUAUUGUAGUUUAUCUUAUAUGCGCUACAUGAUUUGACUACACCUACUUGAAAGUUCAAUUUUAGACGCUGAUGAGAUAUGCUUGACUGGUAGCGAGAGUUAAAAUCUAUUUGAUGUUUUCCUCUAGAAACUAUUUUAUCUUUUAAUAGCACUAGGUCGUUUGGUAUAGGGGAUGGGAUAAGUAGGGAUAUCUUAUGGCUUGGGAGAUCCCAUGGGAUUAUUUUAUCCUACCUUCCAUAUGGAUAGUAAUCCCCCAUUUUAGUAUUAGUGGUCGGAUAAAACAAUCCCGGAAUUAGCUAACACCUCACACCAAACAUGGGAUAAGUUAAUCCCAAAUUUUACCCUGGGAUUGUUGUCCUUAUCCCACGUACCAAACGCCCCCUAAAGACUUGCUCUAGGACUUCAUUUCAUUUUGCGUGUGGUUAAGUACAUCCGUUAUAUUCAAGUUUACUACUUUUGUUUGAUUCCGCUUCUUUUAUUCAAACAUAUUUAUAAUCUUAUAAAUGAAGGAAGCUAUGCUUUAAAAAAGUAUGAUAAAAGCAUGAUAAGUUUAUAUUGCUCCAGCAAUAAUGAUUUAUGAUGAAUGGAUGUUCAUAACAUAAACUUACUUUAUCCAUCUUAAAUGGCUUCUUAUGAUGCUAUUGGGGUCAUUACACACUUAUAGCCUGUUUGGGAUUGUUUUUUUCUCAAAAAAAAAAACUAUUUUCUUUUUUGAAAAAAAAAACACUUUUUUCAAAAAAAGAAUGGUGUUUGAUAAACUUUCAAAAAUGCUUUUAAAAAGACGCAGAAAUUGUUUUUCUGUUGUCGGGAUGAAGCAGAAAAUUUCUACUUUUCAAAAAAAGCAGAAUCAGAAAAUUAUUUUUUUCAGGACAAAAAUAUCCCUAUUACAAACAGACACAUAUGUAAAAAUAUCCCUAUUACACACAAACAGAUGUAUGAAGGACUACUUAUUUUUGUGGUGAACUUUUUCAUAUGUAGUGAUUUAAUUUAUUGAAUAAUUUUUAAAUCCAAUGUUGUUUGAUGUUUUUAAGUAACAUUUAAGUUAUUUUAGUAAUAUUAUAUCAUUAUUUAAUAUUAUUUAAUGUAUCUGUGUAUAUAACUAUUGAUUGAAAAUUUUAUAGUACGUACUUUUUAUUAAAUAAAAAUAAAAAAUUUAAUUAAAAAUAUUAUAAUAGAUAUUUAAAAUAUACUUUCUCUAUAAAAUGAUUUUAGUAGUAAAAGUCUAUUGAUACAUGUCCUUUUUCGUCAUUUGUCUCUCAAAAACACUUUUUGAAAAAGAUUCUAAACACUGUCUAUUUAUCAAAAGCACUUUUCAAAUGAAUUUACUAAACACAAAUUGUAUUUUUUUCAAAAGCACUUUUCUAAAAAGCUAUUUUACAAAAGUGUUUCUCAAAUAAGCAAUUUUCUAAACAACAAUCCCAUACGGGCUCAGUUUAUGUAAAAAGAAUCAGUCUAAUUUAGGCAUAUUUAAAAUCUUAGCAAGUUUUUAUUUUUAUCCAGCCAUAUUCUUCUUUUUUCCCCUUUAAUUUUGCAUUUAUCCUACCGCCUAUUUGAGCUGUAACAGUUACCUUUAGCAAGGUUAAUGAGUAAUUCCACAAAUAAUCACUCUAUUAACAAUUUUUAUCUCAGAAAGUCGCUCGACUAAUGAUAAUUAUCUUAGAAAUCACUCAACUUUAUUUUUUCAUAGAAAAGUCACUCAACUAUUACUAGUUCGCCUACAAAGUCAUUCAACCAAUUCAAGCUAGAUUUUCAGUAGUUUUUGUUUUUUUUAAAUGGUGCUAUAUUUUCGGUAGAUAUUGUUGACGUGAUUCUGAUCUUCCCUUCAACUUAGCUAAACUAGAAAUUCCAGGCAAAAAUACCUAAAAGAACUGUUAGGUGGUGACUCUUGAAUUAAGCCCGAAAUCAUUAAUAAAUUGUGCUUCUACUUAAUCUGAUUAAGAUGGAGUGCAAUCACCCCAAUUUUUGAUAAAACAUACUUCUAUCAAUAUUGGAGAGACGUGAUUAGGCAUGAUAUGGAGCAGUUACAGCUUACGGAGGUCAUGACCUUUAAUAGGAAGGUAAGUGGAGGAUGCGGAUUAGGGUAGAGGGUUAGGGGGUGAGAGUGCACCGGUUACAGUAGGCGAGCGUUCUUUAUUGGUGUUUGAAGUUUCUUGUUCGUAGUGUUGAGUAAUGUCUAUGAUAUCGGAUAUAUAGUUUUUAGUAUUAUUUUGUGGCUGUAGUAUUAUCUUGUAGAUAGCAAGGUUAGUUUAUUUUGCAUACUGUACACAUUUAUGUUUGUGAUCGCUAUACUGUUAUCGGUCCUAAGCCGAGGGUCUAUCGGAAACAGCCUCUCUACUUCACCUACUUCACCUGAGGUAGUGGUAUGGUCUGUGUACACUCUACUCUCCCCAAACCCCACUAUGUGGGAAUACACUGGUAUGUUGUUGUUGUUAUAUACUUCUAUACCAUAAACUGUUCUUACUAUAAAGUAAUCAUGUUUUUAUGCAAAUACGUAUAGCUUACUAAGAGUUCUUAAAUUGAUUAAACCUUCAAUAUAAUCAAGUUCCCUUACCAUAAAGUGAUCCCUUAAUAAGAGUUGGAAUGCUUGGUCCUAUUUGUUAUAUGAUUGAGUACAUCUUUUUAGCCAAAACCUAUGGUGAAGAUUUGCUCCGUAAUGGAGUUAUUGUUUGUUAGGCUUAAGUUAAUCAUAUGAUUGCAAAGUUCGAUGUUUGUUUAGAAAAUUAACUUAAAGCUUUAUGACAUGACCCUAGAUAGGAAGGUCUGGAAGACGCGAAUUACGGCAGAAGAGUAGGGCCAGAUUGGGUCGCUAGGGUAGGGAAUAUUACUUGGUGGGGUUUUUUAUUUUUUAUUUUUUAUUCCCGUUAUGAUUCCGUAUUCAGUGUUCCAUGCUUAUUACGAAUCUGUGUGCUUUCCUCUGCUUUCCUCUGGUUUAUAUUCCUUAUGGGUGCCGUAUUUAUGUUAUGUCAUCUGCUUCUGUGCUUUACUAUGUGUUUGUGUGAUAUCUUGUGCCUUGAGCCGGGGGUCUUUCGGAAACAGCCUUUCUACUUCAUCAGAGGUAGAGGUAUGGACUGCGUACAUCUUACCCCCCCCAGACCCCACUAAGUGGGAAUACACUGGGUUUGUUGUUGUUGUUGUUGUAUUUGAAUGACGAGAAUUGGGGAGGCUUGCUAAAUUUUGGGUCUCCUUGAGCCUUUUCAGGGGCUAAGUAAUGGUCA
RNAcentral lists this long non-coding RNA (6818 nucleotides) under Capsicum annuum. Its description in RNAcentral is "long non-coding RNA (CANN_LNC019284)". The record is from RNAcentral. Lineage: Eukaryota; Viridiplantae; Streptophyta; Magnoliopsida; Solanales; Solanaceae.